This 381-nucleotide ribosomal RNA is filed under the name uncultured bacterium. RNAcentral describes it as "bacterial SSU rRNA". It matches the Rfam family "Bacterial small subunit ribosomal RNA", at positions 28 to 419 of the family's 1533-position model. The record is from RNAcentral.
GACGAACGCUGGCGGCGUGCUUAACACAUGCAAGUCACGGGGGCCCAGCAAUGGGUAACCGGCGAACGGGUGCGUAACACGUGAGCAACCUGCCGAUCUGAGGGGGAUAGCCGGCCCAACGGCCGGGUAAUACCGCAUACGGUUUCUAUGGGACAUCCUGUGGGAACGAAACCUCCGGGGCAGAUCGAGGGGCUCGCGGCCUAUCAGCUAGUUGGUGGGGUAACGGCCCACCAAGGCGACGACGGGUAGCNGGUCUGAGAGGAUGGCCAGCCACAUUGGGACUGAGAGACGGCCCAGACUCCUACGGGAGGCAGCAGUGGGGAAUCUUGCCCAAUGGGGAAACCCUGAGGCAGCAACGCCGCGUGUGGGAUGACGGCCUGG